RNAcentral lists this long non-coding RNA (2223 nucleotides) under Canis lupus familiaris (dog). RNAcentral describes it as "lncRNA (ENSCAFG00845013324.1)". The record is from RNAcentral. Lineage: Eukaryota; Metazoa; Chordata; Mammalia; Carnivora; Canidae.
CCCGGCCGAGGCCCUCCACGGGGGUCGCACCUGCUUGCGCAAUCCUGCGGGCCCAGCUCUGUGGCGAGGGAGCGGUCGGUGUCUCCAGGCGCGCCCCGCGCCCCGGCAGCCCUGCGGAGGCGCCUGGGCCGCGGGCUGCGCGGGCGGAGCUGCCCGGCCGCGGGGAGGAGGGAUGCCCGGGCGAAAGUUGCCAGGGAAACUUGAUCAACUCGAGCGCGCCGGUGCCAGCCUCCUGCAUAAUUCACGGGCGGCGGCGGCGGGCCGCCGGGGGCCCCUCACCUGCACCGGCCGGGUCCUCCCCCCCAAUCCGGCUGGGGCGCGCAGCGGGCAGAGGCCCGGCACCAGGCGCCGGCGCUGCGCGACCCCGGGACUGGGGGGACCGACCCGCGACCCCCCGGGCCUGCGCCGGCCGCAGCCUCCCGGAGCCCGCUGCUCCAGACGCGCGCACCUGCAUGGGGGCUCUGUGCGCCGGCUCCGCGCUGGGUGACCGCUGCGGGGUCUCUGGGGACCCUGCGCCCGCGGCUUGGGUCCCCGCCCCCCGCGCGCCCCCUGGCGGCCCCGAGCCCGCUCCUCGGCCAAGCCUACGGACCCAAGUCCCCAGGCCGGCGGGUGGCGACCGAGGGUAGCCAGACCCCGGGCGGACCCUGGAGAUUUCAUUGCCACCAGGCCUCGUUGACGGCCUGCUCCUGUGGAAGCCAGAGUGCAGUAUGGGAUCGGCAUUGUGCGCUUCUGGAGGGUCUGGGGUCUCCUCGUUCACCUGGACCUGUGGCUCCCACGCACAGCCUGGCACAUGGUAGACACCCAGCACGCACCCAGCACAUGCCCAGCGUGUGCCCAGCAUGCACCAGCAUGCACCCAGCUCACUUUCAGAGGAGAAACGGAGGGAGGGAAGGAAGAUGUCUGGAUAUACGCCGGAAAGCACCUGGGAACAGUCUGGGAACGCUGGUCACCCUCGGCGCCCACCCGGCAAUCCGGCUACAGCGGGCUGUGCCUGUCCUCUACCUGCGGGCCCCCUGUGAGCCGACAUAGCACCUGCCUUCUGCUGCAAACUCGACUUUCUCGGGCCUUCAGAGCACCUGCCCGCGGAGGUCGUAAUCCCGCCUCCCCGCGUACCCACGCGAGUCAGAUAAAGGACACCACUGCCGAGGACUUACUUGACACACUCACUUGGAAGGGGAAUGAGGCCUCCUGGUGGAAUCAGCUAGAAGGAAAAAGGGAAGCCCGCUAAGCCCUGCAAUCCCACACCUCUCCGUGCCUCGGGGUCCACUGCAGUGAGCAACGGAGUGAGGCCCAGGCUGCACCCACGGGAUAGGCAGCUGCAGUUCUGAUCUGGAAGGUGGUUCCUGACCUUUGACUCCCGUGGGAGGGAUGUUUGGAAGAAUGCAUGCCCCGCUGCUGGCCAGGAGCCUGGGCUUUGGCCCAUGGCGUGACCUCGAGUGAGUGUCUUAAUCUCUGCCGUCCAUCGUCCAUCCGUUCGUACAUUCCGGGUCCAGAAGCCAGCAGGAAAGCUUCCAGUUCAGCAGGCGUCACUCCCUGCCCUGCGGCCGUGGCAUGGCUCUGUCCUCACGCAUCUCUCUGCGGGGAGGGACCCUCACAAAUGAUUGGAUGCAUAAAUACUUGAAGUUGAGGUGCAUCCUCUGCGGCAGCCCACGGGUCUUAGAAGAGCACACAUGCCACAGACAUUCGCUGGCUGCCCACGCCCAUCUGCCCGCACUCGUAGCCACAGCUGGAUGUUCCCUGGGGUGGCCCUGCGGUUGACUGGGACUUACCCUGCUGUUAGUUGGGAGGGGACACCCACGGGGACCGUUCGUGUGAUUGGACAGCCGUGGGCAUGUCACCAGACCUAAGGCAAGCAGUGCUGAGGUGUCCCCUCUGCGGUGGCAAGUGGCAUGGAGAUGAUCCAAUCAGGAUGGACGUAGGGGUAUUGCUCUGAGGUUGGGAGCAGCACCCGUGCUUGCUGGAAAGCUUCAUAAUUUCUGCCCAGUACGAAAUGAAAAUGCAGGGCCCCUGGUUCAAAGCCAAAUAAAGUUACCAUUCAGGCACUGAAAUACCAAUUUCCUCUUAUUUCCACAGCAUUUCUGUUGACUUGACUCUUGAUGGUAUUUUUUAUUUUUAUUAUUUAUUUAUUUUAUUUAUUAAAGUUUUUUUAUUCAUUCAUGAGAGACAGAGAGAGAGAGAGGCAGAGACACAGGCAGAGGGAGAAGCAGGCUCCAUGCGGGGAGC